Molecule: long non-coding RNA, 1267 nt
Filed under: Salvator merianae (Argentine black and white tegu)
Lineage: Eukaryota; Metazoa; Chordata; Lepidosauria; Squamata; Teiidae
Description: lncRNA (ENSSMRG00000012490.1)
Source: RNAcentral
GUUAGAGGCUUAGGAGGAAUCUUGUGGGAAAGCUGUGGGGAAAAGGCGGAGUCGCCGUUUUUUAUGGUUUACCCAAGCUUGCUUUCUUUUUUCUUUUUUUAAAGAAAAGUAGUCCUCCCGGAACAGACAGAGUAACAAACAGACCCCCUCCCCGAAUUUCUCCUCUUAAGUCCCUUACUCUUCAUAUCUUCGGACCUUUUCAGAGUCAUGGUAUUAAAAUCUUCUCCAGAUCUUCCAGAAACACUGUCACCUAAUGGAAAAACAAAGCUUGGAUGACCCACCUUUAAUCGCAGCGCCCUCCGCAAUGGAAGAGUCGUCAUUAUCUUCUUUCUAGGAGGAGGUGGCUAAUACGUGACUCUCCAGGUGUUGAUGAACUUCUGCUCCUAUCCUCCUGGUGAACAUAUUCAAUCGCAGGGAACACAGGUAUUGUGAAUUGUGGUUCAAUAUCUGGAAGGCCAAAAUCAUUUCUUUCCUCCUCUGUUCUAAGAUGACAAGAAACAAAUGAAAACUGGGACUUUGUCGCUUUAUUUACAAGAAAUGACAGCUCCUGCCAUUCUGAGCUCAUAGUCACUACAGUUACAGUUGUCUCGGCAAUUGCAACUUGGGAGUUGUUCACUGUAAUGUGUGACCCCCAUAUUGCCUUUUGUUUUACACUCCCCACUCUGAAAUGCACAGUAGUUUUUUGGUUGGAAGGCAGGCUGAGUGAGCAAAAAGGGGAUUCUUUGUGUCAAACAUCUUGAGCCUAAGUCCAACAUUAACAGAAGAACAGAGGUGGNAAAGUUCACCCUUAUCCAUUGCUGUUCCUGUUGUGCUCAGUUAACNUGCCAGUGGCCAUGGCUGGUAGAAUCUACAUUGAUCUACAUAGCCAUCAAGACCACGGAGCACAUUUAAUCGAGUGCUUACUCCAGGAAUCUAGCCAAUGAAGCUUGCAUUGAUGAGAUAAAAAUAUCCAGGGCAGAAAGUCAAGCCACUUUGGGGUAAGUGACUGCACUAACCUGUUCCCUGAAGGAGCCCUGUAUUAAACCACAUUCAGAAUCCCUCUCCAUUAGGCAGCUAUAUCCUCUUUCUGCAUGAGUCCAUAAUUCAGAUUAAGGGCCUGCAUAGUAAGUAUCUGAACCUUUAGAUCUGCACAUUAAUGCAGAUCUAUGAGCCCCCACCCCACACUAGUACAGCUGUAUCUGCUUUAGACAGUGUGUGAUGCCAAACAGGGAGGCCUUGUUUGGUAUCACUGGUAGACCCAUUUAAUUGGGUCAACCAGUGGGACCAG